This 531-nucleotide ribosomal RNA is filed under the name Pecten albicans. RNAcentral's name for it is "partial 16S ribosomal RNA". It matches the Rfam family "Bacterial large subunit ribosomal RNA", at positions 792 to 1875 of the family's 2925-position model. Lineage: Eukaryota; Metazoa; Mollusca; Bivalvia; Pectinida; Pectinidae. The record is from RNAcentral.
AUUUGCUAUCUGGAGAUGGGGAGAUAGUGGCGAAAUACUUUUCGCACUGGUUGAUAGCUGGUUAUUCCGGAAAUAUAUCUAAGUAUAGCUCUUCGGUUGAUGGGGUUUACAGUUUAAUAAUUCUAAUAGUAUUUAGGGUGUUCUAUCGAAGGAGUCAGCCCCCUCAGGCUAAGCUGAGGGGGCUAUUUUAAAGGAUGGUUAACUAAGAAUGGAAAGGCUAAGAAGUGGGCUUGAAGGAGUUAUCUUUACAGAGUGGGUUAAACCACAAAUGGGCCUUGUACAAUAAAUCAAAUUUUACCUAUCUUUGUGUUGUACGGAAUCUCUUUUUGAAACAAUAGUCAUAGAGGUGAUAAUGUAAAGAUGAGUAGUCGAGAAGUUGUAAGUGUUUUAAGGUCGGGGAGAGAAACGUAAAGGUAUGUUCCGUAUCUUUAAAAAAAGCUAAAGGAACUCGGCAAAUAAGGGGACCGCCUGUUUAUCAAAAACAUGGCUCCCUGAGCAAUAUUGGGGGUCGUGCCUUCCCGGUGAGCUUGC